Monodelphis domestica (gray short-tailed opossum) is the source of this 486-nucleotide long non-coding RNA. RefSeq lists it as uncharacterized. Lineage: Eukaryota; Metazoa; Chordata; Mammalia; Didelphimorphia; Didelphidae. The record is from RefSeq and is a predicted model, not a curated record.
GUAACGCCCGCCGUUGUUAGGGAACGGAUGAUGCGGUUGCUAGGAGCCGAGGCCCGCCCUAGCUCGAGGGUAGAUGAGCUGAUGGACCCGGAAAAAGUGGAAGGAAUUCCUGGAGGUGGCAGUGCACGAACCUGGGAACCGGAGGAAUCAGCUGGGGGCAUAGAGGGGUGGGACGAAGGCGAAGUUCAUAAGGCGAUGAGGUUCCAAGUCAUCGGGGAGGAAAAUUGGGAAAAAUAAAGGCUAUUGCUGUCUGAAGUCAGCAAGCGAGUCUCCUUCAAAAGCCCUGAAUGCUCCGGGACCAUCAGCUUUCCUACCUCCCUGCAGACAGAGAGCAUCACCUAGUCAUUUUCUUUAUGUUUCCAUCUCGUGGAAUAUUUCCAUCUAUUUCCAGCUAAGCUAGCUAUUGAAGAUUCUGUUCCAGAAUUCAAUAUGUGCUUUUUUAAAAAGUGAACAGUAUUAAAUCGAGAUUCAUAGUUUCACAUUCAA